Molecule: small nucleolar RNA, 131 nt
Organism: Acomys russatus (golden spiny mouse)
Lineage: Eukaryota; Metazoa; Chordata; Mammalia; Rodentia; Muridae
Product: small nucleolar RNA SNORA17
Exons: 1
Source: RefSeq, a predicted model, not a curated record
CCUUCUGCUAGAGGCGUUGCAGGUGUGGCUUCUGUGUCACCAGUGUGUCACUAGGUAGCGGAGAGGAGAGAGGCAAUUCUACACUCAGUGUUCUGACCUAUGAACAUCUGGAUGAUUAGUAGCCUAACAUU